This 611-nucleotide ribosomal RNA is filed under the name uncultured Acidobacteriota bacterium. RNAcentral describes it as "bacterial SSU rRNA". It matches the Rfam family "Bacterial small subunit ribosomal RNA", at positions 8 to 598 of the family's 1533-position model. The record is from RNAcentral. Lineage: Bacteria; Pseudomonadati; Acidobacteriota.
AGAGUUUGAUCCUGGCUCAGAAUGAACGCUGGCGGCGUGCUUAACACAUGCAAGUCGUGCGCGAAAGUGACUUCGGUCGCGAGUAGAGCGGCGGACGGGUGAGUAACACGUGGACAACCUGCCUGGGGAUGGGGGAUAACUUGGGGAAACUCGAGCUAAUACCGCAUACGCCUGCAGCCUUUUGGCGCUGCAGGGAAAGAUGGCCUCUGCUUGCAAGCUAUCGUUCCCAGAGGGGUCCGCGCCUGAUUAGCUAGUUGGUGGGGUAACGGCCUACCAAGGCGACGAUCAGUAGCCGGCCUGAGAGGGUGAUCGGCCACACUGGAACUGAGACACGCUCCAGACUCCUACGGGAGGCAGCAGUGGGGAAUAUUGGACAAUGGGCGAAAGCCUGAUCCAGCAACGCCGCGUGGAGGAUGAAGGCCUUCGGGUUGUAAACUCCUGUCAGGUGGGACGAAGGAAGCUUGGUCAAUAUCCAGGCUUCUUGACGGUACCAUCAGAGGAAGCCCCGGCUAACUCCGUGCCAGCAGCCGCGGUAAUACGGAGGGGGUGAGCGUUAUUCGGAAUUAUUGGGCGUAAAGGGCGCGUAGGCGGCUUGACAAGUCAGGGGUGAA